CUCUGGUUCGGUAAACGAAUCAGGGCGGAAGGAG
The sequence is a regulatory RNA element, 34 nucleotides long. It matches the Rfam family "L31-Firmicutes ribosomal protein leader". The record is from Rfam.